AAUGCGCGGUGCAAGCUAAUGUAUAUUUAAAAAUUAUAUUGUAUAUAUUGUUGCAAGAAUAAAAGAAUACUUUCCGUCAAAACGGCCGCCGUAAGUUGAACCCACAGGAACUAAUUUGUUAAAACGUUUCUCCUGGGGAUACCAACACGUGUCAGGGGUGGCUGUCCCUUUCCAAUUACUUUGACAGCUUGAAAUCUUCAAAGGUUGCCAAA
This 212-nucleotide long non-coding RNA is filed under the name Elaeis guineensis (African oil palm). RNAcentral describes it as "long non-coding RNA (EGUI_LNC006485)". The record is from RNAcentral. Lineage: Eukaryota; Viridiplantae; Streptophyta; Magnoliopsida; Arecales; Arecaceae.